Molecule: ribosomal RNA, 214 nt
Filed under: Pterostichus panzeri
Lineage: Eukaryota; Metazoa; Arthropoda; Insecta; Coleoptera; Carabidae
Description: partial 28S ribosomal RNA
Rfam family: Eukaryotic large subunit ribosomal RNA
Source: RNAcentral
GGACCAAGGAGUCUAGCAUGUGCGCGAGUCAUUGGGACUCUGUUAAAACCUAAAGGCGUAAUGAAAGUAAAUAUUUGAUGUGUUCCCUUUAAACAGGUGUAUCACUGAAAAUUUAAGGGAAGAUGGGUAACGAUAUUUAUGUUACCUCGCAUUCCCGGGGCGUCGCGUACUUAUUGCAAGUUGCGGCGCACCAAGAGCGUACACGCUGGGACCC